UGCAUAGCCGACCUGAGAGGGUGAUCGGCCACACUGGAACUGAGACACGGUCCAGACUCCUACGGGAGGCAGCAGUAGGGAAUCUUCCGCAAUGGGCGAAAGCCUGACGGAGCAACGCCGCGUGAGUGAUGAAGGUCUUCGGAUCGUAAAACUCUGUUAUUAGGGAAGAACAUAUGUGUAAGUAACUGUGCACAUCUUGACGGUACCUAAUCAGAAAGCCACGGCUAACUACGUGCCAGCAGCCGCGGUAAUACGUAGGUGGCAAGCGUUAUCCGGAAUUAUUGGGCGUAAAGCGCGCGUAGGCGGUUUUUUAAGUCUGAUGUGAAAGCCCACGGCUCAACCGUGGAGGGUCAUUGGAAACUGGAAAACUUGAGUGCAGAAGAGGAAAGUGGAAUUCCAUGUGUAGCGGUGAAAUGCGCAGAGAUAUGGAGGAACACCAGUGGCGAAGGCGACUUUCUGGUCUGUAACUGACGCUGAUGUGCGAAAGCGU
RNAcentral lists this ribosomal RNA (490 nucleotides) under Staphylococcus aureus. RNAcentral describes it as "bacterial SSU rRNA". It matches the Rfam family "Bacterial small subunit ribosomal RNA", at positions 280 to 762 of the family's 1533-position model. Lineage: Bacteria; Bacillati; Bacillota; Bacilli; Caryophanales; Staphylococcaceae. The record is from RNAcentral.